GUGCUCACUUCGAUAGCACAUACGCUAGAAUUGGAACGAUACAGAGAAGAUUUGCGUGGCCCCUGUGCAAAGAUGACAUGCAAAUUCCUGAAGCAUGACAUAUUUUU
Small nuclear RNA from Myodes glareolus (Bank vole), 107 nucleotides. Lineage: Eukaryota; Metazoa; Chordata; Mammalia; Rodentia; Cricetidae. The record is from RefSeq and is a predicted model, not a curated record.